Zingiber officinale is the source of this 1120-nucleotide long non-coding RNA. RefSeq lists it as uncharacterized. NCBI's taxonomy places the organism in Eukaryota, Viridiplantae, Streptophyta, Magnoliopsida, Zingiberales, Zingiberaceae. The transcript has 3 exons. The record is from RefSeq and is a predicted model, not a curated record.
UUUGUACCUCUCCUUUUUUAUGGUAGAGCAAGCAACGCAAACGAACGCCAGAGCAUCGCUGACGUCGUUGCUGGAGGAGACUUCUCCUCCUCCAAUCAGGACCCCAACCGACGCCUCGGUGGCGGGGACGAAACAGCGCCAGCAGAGACCUGAGCCCCAAAUUCUCUUGCGGUAGGGUUUUUCGCCACCGGAGACGAUAUUGGUUCCAACUUCCAAGAGAGCUCGAUCCGAUGACCUUCAAUCCCAUCGCGCCCGUUUCGCAAGAUUUCUGGCUUCGUUCUCUCCUUCCUCCCUCUAUCUAACCAUUAUCUCGAGCCGCCAAACCCACCCGAUCUCCCUCCCUCGGACGUGGUUGAAUUCCCUUCGAGAUUCAUUGGAAGCUCUUCCUAUGCGACCACGGGUAGCAACUCCAGCACAGGAUCCUGAGGUUUGAUAAUUCCAUGUCUAUCUUUGUCUUCGUCAUCGCUGUCGAUGCUGUCCAUUUCCCCGAAGAUUCAAGUCUUUUCUUCGCCAAAGAUCGGUUUUUUGGGCAACUUGUAGUAAAUCGUUCCAGAUACUCCAACAUCGUCCAACUUUACUUCAUCCUUCGUCUCCCGAGCUUCAGUUUGUUGUGUGCUUGGACGAUCUUUAAGGCAAACUCUUUAAUGGAACAACGAUUUUGAUGGAUUCUUCCAUGAAUUCCCUAAACAAAAGCAUGAGGGAAGUGCGAUGUCUUUGUGUGCAUGUACCUGUCUCAUGAUCCAACACUGAACAAGCUACUUUCUUGAGCUUACCCUUAUAUUACUGAUAAAUUCAAGAAAUCAACUUAAGCGGCUUCUGGUUGGAUCUGCUUCCAGUGGAUCCUAAAUUGGCUCCAACUGUUGAAGGUGAAAACCAAGGAGGCUGAUGGAUCUAUCUUGAUUGUUUAAUCAUAUUGCUUCCAGGUGAAUUCUACUCUCGAACAUUUAAUGCUAUCCAUGGAACAAAAUUGAUAGAGAAUUGAAUAUUUGUAUCCGAAGAAUAAAAUCGAUAGGGAAUAGAUUCAGAAUUUCUAAGUUUUUUCAUGGAAUGUGAUCUUACUUGUGAACGACGGAUGAUGAGUUGACUUUAUUGUCAACUUAAUCAUCAAUUGAAUGAUAAC